Molecule: ribosomal RNA, 590 nt
Filed under: uncultured fungus
Lineage: Eukaryota; Fungi
Description: eukaryotic LSU rRNA
Rfam family: 5.8S ribosomal RNA (bases 236-386)
Source: RNAcentral
CUUGGUCAUUUAGAGGAAGUAAAAGUCGUACAAGGUUUCCGUAGGUGAACCUGCGGAAGGAUCAUUACAGAGUACCGGGCCCUCGGGCGCCUACUCCCACCCUUUGUGAACUUAUCUUUGUUGCUUUGCGGGCCAGGUGCCUAGGCGCCGCCGGCUUCGGCUGGAGAGUGCCCGUCGAGGACCAUCUAAACUCUGCUCACGGUGACAUCCGAGUCCAAAAAAAAAAAAGAAUCAAAACUUUCAACAACGGAUCUCUUGGUUCUGGCAUCGAUGAGAACGCAGCGAAAUGCGAUAAGUAAUGUGAAUUGCAGAAUUCAGUGAAUAUCGAAUCUUUGAACGCACAUUGCGCCCUUUGGUAUUCCGAAGGGCAUGCUGUUCGAGCGUCAUUUAAACACUCAAGCUCUGCUUGGUUUUGGGCUCGGUCCUAAGGAGACCCGCCCGCAACUCGUUGGUGGUCGGUUCCGGCUCCGGCGUAGCAAAACCUCUCGCUCUCGAGACGACGCCUUCCCGCCCGGAAAGUCAUCUCUAAAGUUUGACCUCGGAUCAGGUAGGGAUACCCGCUGAACUUAGCAUAUCAAUAAGCGGAGGAA